Molecule: unclassified non-coding RNA, 515 nt
Filed under: Hevea brasiliensis (rubber tree)
Lineage: Eukaryota; Viridiplantae; Streptophyta; Magnoliopsida; Malpighiales; Euphorbiaceae
Source: RNAcentral
UGCUUUAACUUGUAUUGGAGAGUGGGGCCAAUUUGACGUCUCUCCUCAGGAGGUAGAGCAGCAAUGCGCUCAGCAAGUUGAAUGAUUUUGUCAGAGGGUGGAGGUCUAGGACCAUAAGGAUCAUAAAAUGCUGGAUAUUUGUAUUUUUUGGGCUUGGCCUUGGGAUCUCUGGGAACAAAAUCAUGCUGGAAAAAGCGAACCUGCAAAGACCCAGUUAUCUCAUGGAGAGUAGAACGGGCACAAAUGGACCUCACAAGUGCAACAAACUUCAUGUUUCAUGAAUCAGAGAAACGAUAUUCAUAAAAACAAAUAUGACCAGAAGGGACAAUAUCAGAUUCAAUUAAGCAAUUUCAAGCACCAGAUGCAAAUGAAACAUGCGCUUUUCUUCUUUUCUUAUGAUGAGUAAAACUGCAAGAAUUAUGGUGCAAACUUUGUCUCCAACGUGAGAUGGGAAUCAGAGAUCUCACCAGAAAGCCACUGAUGAUACAGCAAAACGGCAAAACCCCCCAAGUUCG